AUGCUGAAUAGGCUUCCUCGCAAGAAAGGGGAAAACUUGGCAGCUAUGGUUUGAACAGAGAGCUUUCUGGGCCUGUGUACACAUUUGCAUAUUGUAGACACUGUGCUGUGGCACUCCACAUGUUGCAGCAGUACAACUUUCAUCAGUUCCAGCCAGUAUGGAUGAGGAUAAUGAGAGUUGUUCAGGAACAGUUAGAAGAACACAGGUUAGUUACCUAAGGGGUCCCUUUUUCUAAGGAUUGGAACUGUCCAACUCUCCAGAUGUGUUGUCCUCAUGUCAAAUUGUACUCAGCAGUUUAUCAAGAACAUUAGGACAUUUUUGAUAACUUUUAAAGGAUGUUAUCUCUUUGCUUGCUUGCUGCCCCACUCCCUGUGAUAAAAAGGCAGAGAUUAAUGGGAAAUUGUUGACUAUCCUAAAACUUUCUGCUUAGUUCCUAUACCUCAGAUUGCCGCUAUACCCAAAUGGGUGAGUUACACAUUAUACAACCCCCCCCCAACUAAUUCCUAUAAUUGUGGGGUGAGAAUGAGGAGGAGGGGGAGCUUGUCAGUAAACAGUGCAAGCAAAUGUGUGUCUGUCCACAAGUAAGGCCUACUAAAUUAAGUGGGGCUCACUCCCAGGAAAGUCAGGGAUUCCCACACAGUGGGGUCAAUGUUGCCAGCCUUCAUGUCAUGUUUGCAGACAUCUUUGUAAUACAGGGUUGGUCUGUCAAUGGACCUGGUGCCUGAAGCCAGCUCCCCCUAGAGCACAUCCUUAGAGAUACUGCCAUUUCCAUUCUGUGGACAUGACCAAACCAGUGUAGAUGUUGCUAUUUAAUAUGUGGUUGGCAAAGGUUAUUGUGUGGUACAGAGGCAUAUAAACUGCAGGUCCAUAUUAAGUGUACUGCUUCAGUUUCAAACUUUCAUGCAAAUUAGGAACUGGGAAUGGUGUGUACGCACAAAGCAUCUCAUUCUGAAGCGUAGGAAAUGCUGUGUGAGUAGCAGAAACCUCUGUCUGGUUUAAGAGGAACUACUGCUAUAUCUGUAAUGAUACUUCUGCUGGGGCUGGGGCUCUGCCUUUGCUGUAUUCAUCUCACAAGUCAACAGACUUGUCCCACCUCAGGUACUCUUACCAAACCAAACAUAUUUCUGGAAGCCUCACCCAGUGAUGAAGCAGAUGAAGUUUUGGUUAAGUGUCAAAUACCACCAGUCUCUCCUUUUACCAGAAUUAUUCUCUGUGAAGACGGGGUAGGAAUCAAAAGUCAGAAGCAAAAGGAUACAAUAUUUUUAUAUAAAUUCUCUUAUAAAAUAUCGAGAGCAAGUAUAAGACAGCUUUCUUGCAUGUACCAGAACAUGGAUAAUAAUAACAAGGUGAAUAAUUCCUUUCCAAGUGAUGCCAGGAACCUUUCUGUUUCAGAAAGGGGCACUUGGAGAAUAGACUCCAAUGAAGAUUUCAGGAUACAUGCAGGUGCCUCAAAUAAUGCAGGUUCCUUAGGUUUUGAAAUUUCCCUAGCAUUAGGAUUUGGAAUUGCAACUGCUUCCACCUUUAUCUGUGCUGCAUUGUUUUAUGUGCUGGAGAAAAGAGGUAAUGUUCAAGCAAAACACAGCAAUCAUAAUUUAACUACUAAAAUAAACCCUCUGCAAUCCUGCCUUGCUAGGAUUUAUGUUACAACCGACUUACUUCAGUAUAGUCUUAUUGCACAGUCUGUUUCUCUGACAGUGGUGGAUGUGGAUGAUGCCUCUGUCUUGACACUGUUCACACAUUCAUCUUAUCUCUUGGUUGCUCCUGGAUGGGCAGCAUAUGCAUAAUAAUGUUCCUGCAUGCUGUCUGCAUGUCCACUCCAGCAAUCACACUGUAAGGUGUGUGCACAUAUAAUGAACAAAUGUCAUGUUGAAGGAAUGAGCACUACUGUCCCUGAUAUUGGAGGAACAAGUGGGAUGAUGUCCCAGGGAGGGGCAAGUUUUAAAUAGCUGUCCAGAACUUUCCCCAUUUAUGUCUGCCCCCUUAUGCAAUGGUUCAAUGUGUGUUAUAAUUAUGGUAUUAUGUCAUAGCAGCUAUGAAGAGAUUUAUCUAAGAUGAUCCAAUGUACACUGUAUCUCUCUCAGGUAUAAUCAAAUGGAGAGCAACCAGGUAGGUGUAAUGAGACUUCAAUAAUUAUGCCUUGAAUUCAGUAAAGUGUGAUUCAGUAUGCAGGAAAUAUGGUAAAGCAGCUUUGUUCCUCAAAACAGCAUAUUCUGGGCAACAAGUUCUUUUCUGGAUAUUGGUCAUGCCUAAACCUGCUUCAUAUCGUAACUGGAACUAAUGCUUUCAUAUCUUCUCCUGGGUUAAAUAGAAAUCACGCAUUUCAAGUAGAGACAACUUCCUCUAUUCCUCACAGUAAUAAAAUUGGAGAAGAAGUAGCAAAACUUGGAUGGGUAAAUUCAGACAGUCAUUUAUCAAGUAGUAAUGUUUCAUGGCACUAUAUCUAAUCAUAUUUUAAAAAUGAGUUCAUAUAGUGAAGCGCCUGCUCUUAAGAAGGGUCAGACAAUAUGUUGUAUGGGGGCAGUUUGUCCUCCUCUUGAGUUGGGGCUCUUAAGUUUCUUUCCACUCUAAUACUUGUUUUGUGAAUACAACACCCAUAGGUAGAUUUAGGGAAGUGUGUGAAGCUGAUUCUCCAUGGAAAAAGAGAGAAUUUGGCUUUAAAUGAAGUUGCCUGCUGGAAUGUUAUUGCAGACAUAUAAUGUCUGUGUUUAUGUUGUGAACCACCCUGCAGAUAAAGGACAGCAUACAAACUUAAUAAAAAAUAGAACCCAUGCUAAUCUUUGACUUCAGUUUAAUAGCUUGAGAUGUAUAUUAAUGUAUUUCAUAAAAAUUGAUAUACUGCUUGAUUGUAGAAAAACCUCAAAACAGUUUAUAAAAGAGAUAAAACAAUAAAAUUUACAGCAAUAAUUUAAAGUAUACAAAAAGUUGAAACAGUAAUAGAUUGAAGCUAAUUAAAACUCUCUAAACUUUCUAUGUAUGUCCACAUACACAUUUGAAACUAGAGAACUUCUCUCUGCCCCUCCAGCUUUAUAUAUCUCACACAUCUUUGCUUUCCACAGACAUCCAGAAAGAGAAAACCAAACACGGCAACCAGUUGGUUCAUUUAACGAUGAAUCAGAGCAGAAUCCCUUGCAUGUUUACACAGAUAUAAACAUCAGUCCCGUCAGUGGGAUUUACUGCCAGG
Non-coding RNA from Zootoca vivipara (common lizard), 3181 nucleotides. NCBI's taxonomy places the organism in Eukaryota, Metazoa, Chordata, Lepidosauria, Squamata, Lacertidae. The record is from RefSeq and is a predicted model, not a curated record.